Molecule: long non-coding RNA, 828 nt
Filed under: Mus musculus (house mouse)
Lineage: Eukaryota; Metazoa; Chordata; Mammalia; Rodentia; Muridae
Description: predicted gene, 17753
Source: RNAcentral
CACACAAUUCCUCUCGCAGGUGGCUCUCUGUUGCCGGCUUCCAUAGGCUAGCCCCCACUCCACCCCAGACUCUAGACCGGACCGCUCCAGAUUUAGCAGUUGAGGCCCUUUAAAAGCCUCACAGCUGCCUCGCUGCGGGCAGCCUUCCUGGGAAAUGUAGUCUCCUGAGUGAAGCUUCGCAGCUUCCCCGGGCUGUUUUGCUACUGGCCAAAAAGGGGCUUUGCUACCACCUUGGAUUACUGUGACAGAGAAACGAAACCUUGUGUGAAAAACGUAUCCAUCGCAUCAGAGUGGGAACCAGGAUCUUAUCCGGCUUACAAUGCUCUUGACUGUAACAUCUGCAAGGGACACACGGGAGCCCUGAAAGGCCUGGUGUCUCUACAGGGAGGAUGACUCUUCAGCCACUGUCCUUUGCUUCUGUCUCCCGGUUUACUUGCGAAUGUUUAUUGUGAUGAGUCUUGUUGAGGCCUCUAGUUUCUGCUACACCAUCAAUAUUGAACUCUUGUGGAGACUCCUCUCAGAUAUUUGGUUGUAGCCCAGAGUCAUGGAGACCCUGCAGGCCUCCAUCAUUGAACAGAGCCAGGAUGAUCCUGUGACCUGACUGGGUGGCAGGUUCGGGACCUGAGUCUGCAGCUGCACAAGCUCCAGGAUGCUGCACAGCACCCUGCACACCUUACUGCGCUAUGACGGCAGGUUAACCCUCUCUCUUCCCUAUCACCACGUCUCCAGUUCUGCCUCCCUCCAUAGAGCACACACCGCUGUUUUCUGUCUUUCCCAUCUCCCCAUCACAUAUGAUCAUCACAGUGGCCUUUUCCCCAAGGAAAUGAA